AUCCUUACGCUACAUAGCCAAACCCUAUCAACGCCUUCUGUUUCUCCAAAUCGCUCCUUCUGCAAUUUUCUUCUCUUCCUUCAGCAUCUUCUUCCAAAAUUAUGAGUUUUUUUUAUCGUUCAUCUCAUAGGUUUUUGUAGGCCGAAGAUGAAGAGCUUUGUAUAUUCUGACACCUCUUGUAUGAGAUGGAUCUUUCAUUAAAGGUUUCAUCUUUGAGCACAGAAAGCAACUCUCUGAGUCCUACACUACCAGGGGAGAGGUGACGCCGACGUCGAUGUAGAUGAUGGAUGAGGCCUGUGCUGGGGACGUUGACGCGGAUGCUCAUGACCUGGAAGCAGAGGAAGAGAUCCUGGGCCUCGAGGCCGUAGAUUGCGUCGAUUUUCUGGGGAGUACAGUCCUUAUGGCCAGCCUGUGCUCGUUCAAUUUUAAAAAAAUCACGUCAAUAAUAAAAGCCCGUUGUGAAUCCUGGUCACUUGAAUUUUCCUUUUUUUUAUAAAAAAAAAACAGACUAAAUCCAGAUCUUUUCACGAUGUACUGUAAAAUUGUAUUUUUUUAAAUAGUGAUGAGUUGUAUAGUUGGGUAUGUAAAUGUAUGUAAUCAUUAUUUUUGGACCCUUUUGAAUAUCAUGAAAUACAGUUUGUAUUGUUAAGUUAAUUUUUAAGCUUUAUUAUAUUACAAUCGCGUCUUAUCUUUGA
Glycine soja is the source of this 695-nucleotide long non-coding RNA. RefSeq lists it as uncharacterized. NCBI's taxonomy places the organism in Eukaryota, Viridiplantae, Streptophyta, Magnoliopsida, Fabales, Fabaceae. The transcript is spliced from 2 exons. The record is from RefSeq and is a predicted model, not a curated record.